CCUACGGGUGGCAGCAGUGAGGAAUAUUGGUCAAUGGGCGUAAGCCUGAACCAGCCAAGUCGCGUGAGGGAUGAAGGUUCUAUGGAUCGUAAACCUCUUUUAUAAGGGAAUAAAGUGUGGGACGUGUCCUGUUUUGUAUGUACCUUAUGAAUAAGGAUCGGCUAACUCCGUGCCAGCAGCCGCGGUAAUACGGAGGAUCCGAGCGUUAUCCGGAUUUAUUGGGUUUAAAGGGUGCGUAGGCGGCCUGUUAAGUCAGCGGUGAAAGUCUGUGGCUCAACCAUAGAAUUGCGGUUGAAACUGGCAGCCUUGAGUACGUUAGAGGCAGGCGGAAUGCGUGGUGUAGCGGUGAAAUGCUUAGAUAUCACGCAGAACCCCGAUUGCGAAGGCAGCCUGCCAAGCCAUGACUGACGCUGAUGCACGAAAGCGUGGGGAUCAAACAGGAUUAGAUACCCCAGUAGUC
This 460-nucleotide ribosomal RNA is filed under the name uncultured bacterium. Its description in RNAcentral is "partial 16S ribosomal RNA". It matches the Rfam family "Bacterial small subunit ribosomal RNA", at positions 338 to 795 of the family's 1533-position model. The record is from RNAcentral.